CUUGAUCAAUUAUAAGAGGUCAAGCCUGCCCAGUGACAUUGUUCAACGGCCGCGGUAUCCUAACCGUGCGAAGGUAGCGUAAUCACUUGUCCUUUAAAUAAGGACUAGUAUGAACGGCUUCACGAAGGCUAUACUGUCUCCUUAAUCUAAUCAAUUAAACUAAUCUCCCCGUGAAGAAGCGGGGAUUCGUCUAUAAGACGAGAAGACCCUAUGGAGCUUUAAACAUCUAAGACACUUGAUUAUAUCUACUAAACUUCAUGUAACCUAUCAUUUUGUCUUAAGUUUUAGGUUGGGGUGACCACGGAGAAAAAUUAAACCUCCACGUAGAAAGAAAAUUUUUUCUAAGCAAAAAGCCACAUCUUAACGCAUCAAUAUAUUGACUUAAAUUGACCCA
This 394-nucleotide ribosomal RNA is filed under the name Allobates femoralis (brilliant-thighed poison frog). RNAcentral describes it as "partial 12S ribosomal RNA". It matches the Rfam family "Bacterial large subunit ribosomal RNA", at positions 1834 to 2422 of the family's 2925-position model. The record is from RNAcentral. Lineage: Eukaryota; Metazoa; Chordata; Amphibia; Anura; Aromobatidae.